RNAcentral lists this ribosomal RNA (440 nucleotides) under uncultured bacterium. Its description in RNAcentral is "partial 16S ribosomal RNA". It matches the Rfam family "Bacterial small subunit ribosomal RNA", at positions 338 to 795 of the family's 1533-position model. The record is from RNAcentral.
CCUACGGGAGGCAGCAGUGGGGAAUAUUGCACAAUGGGGGAAACCCUGAUGCAGCGACGCCGCGUGAGGGAAGAAGUAAUUCGGUAUGUAAAGCUCUAUCAGCAGGGAAGAAAAUGACGGUACCUGAGUAAGAAGCCCCGGCUAACUACGUGCCAGCAGCCGCGGUAAUACGUAGGGGGCAAGCGUUAUCCGGAUUUACUGGGUGUAAAGGGAGCGUAGACGGAAGAGCAAGUCUGAAGUGAAAGGCGGGGGCUCAACCCCGGGACUGCUCUGGAAACUGUUCGGCUGGAGUGCAGGAGAGGUAAGUGGAAUUCCUAGUGUAGCGGUGAAAUGCGUAGAUAUUAGGAGGAACACCAGUGGCGAAGGCGGCUUACUGGACUGUAACUGACGUUGAGGCUCGAAAGCGUGGGGAGCAAACAGGAUUAGAUACCCGUGUAGUC